GCUAGAAAGUAGUAUUAACGCAAUAUAAUUUCUGCCUAGUGCUCUAAAUAUUAAAGCGAAGAGAUUCGACUAAGCGCGAGUAAAUAGCGGGAGUAACUAUAACUCUCUUAAGGUAGCUAAAUGCCUCGUUAUCUAAUUAGUAACGCGCAUAAAUAGAUUAAUAAGAUUUCUACUAUCUCUAUCUACUAUCUAGCAAAACUAUAGCUAAGAGAACGGGCUUAGCUAAAUUAGCGGGGAAAGAAGACUCUAUUAAGCUUAACUCUAGUUUAAUAUUAUAAAAAGAUAUAGGGGGUAUAGAAUAGAUAGAAGCUUCAGCGCUAGUAAAAUACUACUACUCUUAUUAUUUUUUUACUUAUUCGAUAAAGCGGAGCUAGGCCUUACUGCCUAACUUCUAGCGUUAAGGUCCUUUAUAGGCUAAUCUAGGUUAAAGAUAUUGUUAGGUAGAGAGUUUAGCUAGAGCGGCAUAUCUAUUAAACUAUAACGCAGGUGUUCUAAGAGGGACUUAUAGAGAACAGAAAUCUCUAGUAGAGCAAAAGGGCAAAAGUCCUCUUAAUUUUAAUUUUUAGUAUAAAUAUAAACUAUAAAAGUAUAGCCUAUCAAUUCUUUAGUCCCUUGAAAUUUAAGGCUAGAGGUGCUAGAAAAGUUACUAUAGAGAUAACUAGCUUGUAGCAGCCAAGCGUUUAUAGCGACGUUGCUUUUUAAUCCUUUAAUAUUAGCUCUUUCUAUUAUACUAAAGCAGAAUUCGAUAAGCGUUAGAUUGUUUACCUACUAAUAGAGAACGUAAGCUAGGUUUAGACUAUUAUAAGAUAGGUUAGUUUUAUCCUACUAAUAACCUUGCUUUAAUAGUAAUACUGCUUAGUAUAAGAGGAACUACGGUUUUAGAUAAUUGGUUUUUGCGGCUAUCUAAUUAGGCAUUGCUGCGAAGCUACUAUCUGCUAGAUUAUAGCUAAACGCCUCUAAGUCAGAAUCUAUGCUAGAAUAGAGUAAUUUCU
RNAcentral lists this ribosomal RNA (992 nucleotides) under Parastagonospora avenae f. sp. tritici. RNAcentral's name for it is "eukaryotic LSU rRNA". It matches the Rfam family "Eukaryotic large subunit ribosomal RNA", at positions 2167 to 3165 of the family's 3401-position model. The record is from RNAcentral. Lineage: Eukaryota; Fungi; Ascomycota; Dothideomycetes; Pleosporales; Phaeosphaeriaceae.